AUUUUUAUAGUUUAUAAAAAAUAUUAAAUUGCAAAUUUAAAGAAUUUGUUGAGAAUAAAAAUU
RNAcentral lists this transfer RNA (63 nucleotides) under Acropyga kinomurai. RNAcentral's name for it is "tRNA-Cys". The record is from RNAcentral. Lineage: Eukaryota; Metazoa; Arthropoda; Insecta; Hymenoptera; Formicidae.